AGGGCCAUAGCACUUUGAAACAUUAGUCUCCCGUAAGAUCACCGAAGUUAACCAACGUCGAGCCUGGUCAGUUCAUAGAUUAGUGACCGCAUGGAAAUAGCAGGUGCUGUAAG
Non-coding RNA from Acanthosepion pharaonis, 113 nucleotides. NCBI's taxonomy places the organism in Eukaryota, Metazoa, Mollusca, Cephalopoda, Sepiida, Sepiidae. The record is from the annotation of a GenBank genome assembly.